UUCUUGGCAGUCCAGUGGUUAGGACUUGGCAUUUUCAUUGCUGAGGGCCAGGUUCAAUCCCUGGUUGGGAAA
This 72-nucleotide transfer RNA is filed under the name Bos taurus (domestic cattle). It matches the Rfam family "tRNA". From Rfam's summary of the family: Transfer RNA (tRNA) molecules are approximately 80 nucleotides in length. Their secondary structure includes four short double-helical elements and three loops (D, anti-codon, and T loops). Further hydrogen bonds mediate the characteristic L-shaped molecular structure. tRNAs have two regions of fundamental functional importance: the anti-codon, which is responsible for specific mRNA codon recognition, and the 3' end, to which the tRNAs corresponding amino acid is attached (by aminoacyl-tRNA synthetases). tRNAs cope with the degeneracy of the genetic code in two manners: having more than one tRNA (with a specific anti-codon) for a particular amino acid; and 'wobble' base-pairing, i.e. permitting non-standard base-pairing at the 3rd anti-codon position. RNAcentral also lists the same sequence under 4 other names. Lineage: Eukaryota; Metazoa; Chordata; Mammalia; Artiodactyla; Bovidae. The record is from Rfam by way of RNAcentral.